GGGGCGCCACGCCGCGGGGACCCACUAGCCUUUUGCUUCGCGACCUGGGGCCCGCGCGACCGAGGCGGGCAGGCAGGCGCAAGCUCCCGGGCCGGCCCGCCCCCACCUCCCUGGCACCGAAGCGGCUGCCGGGGCGCGCUCGGCGGCUGCGCUCCAAGGCGCCGGCUGCCAUGAUUGCGGGCAGCGGGACGCGCGCGCACGCUCGGGCCCGGCUCCGGGACCCUCCGCGGACCGACAGUCGCGGCCUGCCCGCAGCCCUGUGCGCGCUGCGGGCAGCGCGAGGGUCUCCCGGCUUAUUUCAGUGGGACCAUUGUGUAUCUUGGAGCUCUAGACCAGGCACUAGGACAGUACUCGUGGCCGACAGUGGCAGUGGCUUUCCCCAGGGCAGGUCGCGCGCACGGGCGCCCAGCAGCCUCUUCCCGGACACCACCGGCCCCGCGGAGCAAGGGGCGCGGUACCCUUUGGGCUGUGGUGGAGCGGAUCCCGCGAGCGGGAGUGGGAGGACAGCGCACUAUGCCGGAGAUGGCGCAGAAACUGCGGGGAGAAGUUCAAGGCCGCAGCUUUGCUCUCAGCCCGACGGCGACACUGCUGGCUCCAGGCCACACUGUUCUUUCCUGGGCUCCUUCAGGGGAAGGGGAACGCCUGGGCUCCAUGGCCUGGACACUGGUUAGGAUGUCAAGGAGUCUGCAGCGUCUUUCCCCGCCGGCUUUGCAGGGGCGUCCGAGCCGUCCGCAAACUGCAGAGGCGCAGGCCUGGGACUCUGGCCCUGGGGAACACCCGUCAGCACACAGUCGCUACACUCAGACCCCUUCCCCCUGCCUGGGUAUGCUCUGGCUCAGAGCCACGCCGACCUAGCUCUUCCUGAACGCCAGCGAUGGCCCCGUUGAUGGCCAGGGCCCGAGAGAAACAUGGCCUCGGGGCCCCAUCCCACUCUCUGUGCCUGUCUCCCCCCUACUACCCCCCCUGGCCUUGGCAUUCUAACCAGUGUCCCUUGACGUCACAUCUCGCCAUUUCUGUCAACCAAUUGAAACUUGCCCGUUGUCAUAAAAAUAUAUAUUUUUAUGCCAUUGGUAAAUUCAAAAGUUCCUUGCAUGCCCAGCUGCCCAGGAAACUCCACUCCACGUUGGAUUGGAUUGCCCAGGAGGGGAAAACUGGCCACUUAGUUAAGGCUGGGCUAGACAGCACUGUGAGGACCCGGGGCUGUCCAAACUCGGUGGACCCCAUGGCCUUGGCUAGUGCUGGACACUACACACCAGCAUCAUCACCACAACCCAUGACACAGAAUGGGGGGGGGGGGGCGGGAAUCCAGGAUAUGCUAAGAAAUCUUCCCAGUUGCUUUCCUGGGAGUCUGGGGUGUGGAAUCUUACUUCUUUUUACUAGGGUUAGCUUGCUUUUUCCCUAUCAGAAAACUAGGGUUUAGAAAACAGAGCCGAAACAUUUCCAGCCCACGUUUUCACUGGAAUUUUUACCAACUUUCACUUUCCAUGGCUGCCAGCAGCAGUAAAGAUUCGGCCCAAGCAGGAGCCAUUUCACUCUUUCCUGCAGAGGGUGCAUUGUGGCCUCUGCCUCAAGAGCUGUGGGACCCAGGGCCAGGAGCCCUGGAGCCCUGUGCCCCUUCCUCAGAAGA
This is a long non-coding RNA of Marmota monax (woodchuck), 1627 nucleotides long. RefSeq lists it as uncharacterized. The transcript is spliced from 2 exons. The record is from RefSeq and is a predicted model, not a curated record. Lineage: Eukaryota; Metazoa; Chordata; Mammalia; Rodentia; Sciuridae.